GCCCAGUUGGCUCAGUUGGUUGAGUGUCUGACUUCAGCUCAGGUCACGAUCUCAUGGUUCAUGAGUUCAAGCCACACACUGGGCU
This 85-nucleotide transfer RNA is filed under the name Felis catus (domestic cat). It matches the Rfam family "tRNA". Rfam says of the family: Transfer RNA (tRNA) molecules are approximately 80 nucleotides in length. Their secondary structure includes four short double-helical elements and three loops (D, anti-codon, and T loops). Further hydrogen bonds mediate the characteristic L-shaped molecular structure. tRNAs have two regions of fundamental functional importance: the anti-codon, which is responsible for specific mRNA codon recognition, and the 3' end, to which the tRNAs corresponding amino acid is attached (by aminoacyl-tRNA synthetases). tRNAs cope with the degeneracy of the genetic code in two manners: having more than one tRNA (with a specific anti-codon) for a particular amino acid; and 'wobble' base-pairing, i.e. permitting non-standard base-pairing at the 3rd anti-codon position. The record is from Rfam by way of RNAcentral. Lineage: Eukaryota; Metazoa; Chordata; Mammalia; Carnivora; Felidae.